GACGAACGCUGGCGGCGUGCCUAAUACAUGCGAGUAGAACGCUGAAGAGAGGAGCUUGCUCUUCUUGGAUGAGUUGCGAACGGGUGAGUAACGCGUAGGUAACCUGCCUUGUAGCGGGGGAUAACUAUUGGAAACGAUAGCUAAUACCGCAUAACAAUGGAUGACACAUGUCAUUUAUUUGAAAGGGGCAAUUGCUCCACUACAAGAUGGACCUGCGUUGUAUUAGCUAGUAGGUGAGGUAAUGGCUCACCUAGGCGACGAUACAUAGCCGACCUGAGAGGGUGAUCGGCCACACUGGGACUGAGACACGGCCCAGACUCCUACGGGAGGCAGCAGUAGGGAAUCUUCGGCAAUGGGGGCAACCCUGACCGAGCAACGCCGCGUGAGUGAAGAAGGUUUUCGGAUCGUAAAGCUCUGUUGUAAGUCAAGAACGGGUGUGAGAGUGGAAAGUCCACACUGUGACGGUAGCUUACCAGAAAGGGACGGCUAACUACGUG
RNAcentral lists this ribosomal RNA (497 nucleotides) under uncultured bacterium. RNAcentral's name for it is "partial 16S ribosomal RNA". It matches the Rfam family "Bacterial small subunit ribosomal RNA", at positions 28 to 507 of the family's 1533-position model. The record is from RNAcentral.